AUUGAACGCUGGCGGCAUGCCUUACACAUGCAAGUCGAACGGCAGCACGGGUGCUUGCACCUGGUGGCGAGUGGCGAACGGGUGAGUAAUACAUCGGAACGUACCUUAUCGUGGGGGAUAACGCAGCGAAAGCUGUGCUAAUACCGCAUAAGCCCUGAGGGGGAAAGCGGGGGAUCGAAAGACCUCGCGCGAUUAGAGCGGCCGAUGCCUGAUUAGCUUGUUGGUGGGGUAAAGGCCCACCAAGGCGAGGAUCAGUAGCUGGUCUGAGAGGACGGUCAGCCACACGGGGACUGAGACACGGCCCAGACGCCUACGGGAGGCAGCAGUGGGGAAUUUUGGACAAUGGGGGCAACCCUGAUCCAGCAAUGCCGCGUGAGUGAAGAAGGCCUUCGGGUUGUAAAGCUCUUUUGUCAGGGAAGAAACACCGGCUCUAACACAGUCCGGGAAUGACGGUACCUGAAGAAUAAGCACCGGCUAACUACGUGCCAGCAGCCGCCGUAA
Molecule: ribosomal RNA, 501 nt
Filed under: uncultured bacterium
Lineage: Bacteria
Description: partial 16S ribosomal RNA
Rfam family: Bacterial small subunit ribosomal RNA
Source: RNAcentral